This 239-nucleotide unclassified non-coding RNA is filed under the name uncultured fungus. RNAcentral describes it as "partial contains 5.8S ribosomal RNA, internal transcribed spacer 2, and large subunit ribosomal RNA". Lineage: Eukaryota; Fungi. The record is from RNAcentral.
AACGCACAUUGCGCCCCUUGGUAUUCCGGGGGGCAUGCCUGUUCGAGCGUCAUUAUAACCCCUCAAGCUCAGCUUGGUGUUGGGGCCUGCCAACUGGCAGCCCUUAAAAUCAGUGGCGGCGCCAUCUGGCUCUAAGCGUAGUAAUUUCUCUCGCUAUAGGGUCCCGAUGGAUGCUGGCCAGCAACCCCCAAUUUUCUACGGUUGACCUCGGAUCAGGUAGGGAUACCCGCUGAACUUAA